Long non-coding RNA from Oncorhynchus masou masou (cherry salmon), 801 nucleotides. RefSeq lists it as uncharacterized. The record is from RefSeq and is a predicted model, not a curated record. Lineage: Eukaryota; Metazoa; Chordata; Actinopteri; Salmoniformes; Salmonidae. The transcript has 2 exons.
AGUCUCAGAGUAGGACUGCUGACCUAGGAUCAGGUCAUAAAGAGUCUCAGAGUAGGACUGCUGACCUAGGAUCAGGUCAUAAAGAGUCUCAGAGUAGGACUGCUGACCUAGGAUCAGGUCAUAAAGAGUCUCAGAGUAGGACGGCUGAUCUAGGAUCAGGUCAUAAAGAGUCUCAGAGUAGGACUGCUGAUCUAGGAUCAGGUCAUAAAGAGUCUCAGAGUAGGACUGCUGACCUAGGAUCAGGUCAUAAAGAGUCUCAGAGUAGGACGGCUGAUCUAGGAUCAGGUCAUAAAGAGUCUCAGAGUAGGACUGCUGAUCUAGGAUCAGGUCAUAAAGAGUCUCAGAGUAGGACUGCUGAUCUAGGAUCAGGUCAUAAAGAGUCUCAGAGUAGGACCGCUGACCUAGGAUCAGGUCAUAAAGAGUCUCAGAGUAGGACCGCUGAUCUCGGUUUUCCCUUUUGUAGAGCAUUCUGAUUAUAUACUGUAUGGACAGGGGGAGCUGAUCCUGGAUCUGUAGUCCUACUGCCGAGAUGCUUUCUGAAUUCUUAUCCAGUGAUUGAGAGACAUUAAUCUAGUCAAAUCCAUAAUCAAUGGGAUGUGGAGGAUCAGUUUAUUAACAGUUUGCUGUGUAAUGAAAGGGUUUGUUCUUCAUUAUAUCCUUCAACCAACAUGUGGAUCCACGUAUGCCUGCUGUUUAUCAUACAGAUAGGACCUUAAUGCCCUUUGAUUCUUCAGUUGUAAUUGAAUUGAAUAAAGAUGAGUCUUGCUCUCCAUCACACAAACCCAUCAGUGUUGGAAACAA